This 440-nucleotide ribosomal RNA is filed under the name uncultured bacterium. Its description in RNAcentral is "partial 16S ribosomal RNA". It matches the Rfam family "Bacterial small subunit ribosomal RNA", at positions 338 to 795 of the family's 1533-position model. The record is from RNAcentral.
CCUACGGGAGGCAGCAGUGGGGAAUAUUGCACAAUGGGGGAAACCCUGAUGCAGCGACGCCGCGUGAGUGAGGAAGUAUUUCGGUAUGUAAAGCUCUAUCAGCAGGGAAGAAAAUGACGGUACCUGACUAAGAAGCACCGGCUAACUACGUGCCAGCAGCCGCGGUAAUACGUAGGGGGCAAGCGUUAUACGGAUUUACUGGGUGUAAAGGGAGCGUAGACGGGUAAGCAAGUCAGAUGUGAAAACCUAGGGCUUAACUUUGGGACUGCUUUUGAAACUGAGUAUCUAGAGUGUAGGAGAGGUAGGCUGAAUUCUUAGUGUAGCGGGGAAAUGCGUAGAGAUUAGGAGGAAUACCCGUGGCGAAGGCGGCUUACUGGACUGUAACUGACGUUGAGGCUCGAAAGCGUGGGGAGCAAACAGGAUUAGAUACCCCUGUAGUC